UGUGUAAUGGUCACAAUUAUUCAAAAUUCCUAAGCAGGUAGGGAUUUUACAGGAAAGGAUAUAAAGAAAUACGAAUUUCUUGAAUUUUGUUAGGCAUCGACUAUGUCUGUAUGUGUUUGUGUGGCUAGGGUGAAGGUUUAAGAUUUAAAAGAUUGAUGGUUGAUGUCUAGCCAAAAGGAUAGUUCUAUUAUAUAGUAGUGUCAGUGUUUACGUGCCUAUUUUUUUUAAUGAAGGAUCGUCAAUAUGUACUAUUAAUUAAGUUAAACGUAUAUAUCAAUCAGAACGGAAUAGAUAUGAUAAUACCAAACAGGGUGUACGCUGAUCUACGCUGGGCAAUGCAU
RNAcentral lists this long non-coding RNA (341 nucleotides) under Mytilus galloprovincialis (Mediterranean mussel). Lineage: Eukaryota; Metazoa; Mollusca; Bivalvia; Mytilida; Mytilidae. The record is from RNAcentral.